RNAcentral lists this non-coding RNA (31 nucleotides) under Rattus norvegicus (Norway rat). The record is from RNAcentral. Lineage: Eukaryota; Metazoa; Chordata; Mammalia; Rodentia; Muridae.
UAAAAUCAGACCCAAAGGUACAGAAAGCCCC